This 58-nucleotide transfer RNA is filed under the name Mahmutkashgaria sulcatus. RNAcentral's name for it is "tRNA-Ser". The record is from RNAcentral. Lineage: Eukaryota; Metazoa; Arthropoda; Insecta; Hemiptera; Delphacidae.
AAGAGGUUCAUUAAGAAGCUGCUAACUAUCCUAAAAACAUUAAGUUGUUAACCUCUUU